RNAcentral lists this ribosomal RNA (253 nucleotides) under uncultured bacterium. RNAcentral's name for it is "partial 16S ribosomal RNA". It matches the Rfam family "Bacterial small subunit ribosomal RNA", at positions 524 to 776 of the family's 1533-position model. The record is from RNAcentral.
UACGUAGGGUGCAAGCGUUAAUCGGAAUUACUGGGCGUAAAGCGUGCGCAGGCGGUCUUGCAAGACAGGUGUGAAAUCCCCGGGCUUAACCUGGGAACUGCACUUGUGACUGCAAGGCUGGAGUACGGCAGAGGGGGAUGGAAUUCCGCGUGUAGCAGUGAAAUGCGUAGAUAUGCGGAGGAACACCGAUGGCGAAGGCAAUCCCCUGGGCCUGUACUGACGCUCAUGCACGAAAGCGUGGGGAGCAAACAGG